Molecule: ribosomal RNA, 439 nt
Filed under: uncultured bacterium
Lineage: Bacteria
Description: bacterial SSU rRNA
Rfam family: Bacterial small subunit ribosomal RNA
Source: RNAcentral
GAUGAACGCUGGCGGUAUGCCUAACACAUGCAAGUCGUACGAGAGUUUUUAACUCUAGUGGCGGACGGGUGAGUAACACGUGAGAAUUUGCCUUUAGGAGGGGGAUAACAAUUGGAAACGAAUGCUAAUACCCCAUAUGCUUUUGAGUGAAACGGAUUUAUCCGCCUAGAGAGAAGCUCGCGGCUGAUUAGCUUGUUGGUAAGGUAAGAGCUUACCAAGGCGACGAUCAGUAUCUGGUUUGAGAGGACGAUCAGACACACUGGAACUGAGACACGGUCCAGACUCCUACGGGAGGCAGCAGUGGGGAAUUUUCCGCAAUGGGCGAAAGCCUGACGGAGCAAUACCGCGUGAGGGAAGAAUGCCUAUGGGUUGUAAACCUCUUUUUCAGGGAGGAAUAAAAUGACGUGUACCUGAAGAAUAAGCAUCGGCUAACUCCGUG